RNAcentral lists this long non-coding RNA (349 nucleotides) under Pan troglodytes (chimpanzee). RNAcentral's name for it is "long non-coding RNA NONPTRT017822". Lineage: Eukaryota; Metazoa; Chordata; Mammalia; Primates; Hominidae. The record is from RNAcentral.
UCAUAUCCAGGUCACGCUGAUGUAGGAGAAUCUGGGCUAUCCCUGUGACUUGCUUUGACUAAUGGAGUGUGACAGAAUGACGUUGUGCAACAUCCAAAUCAGGACUUAAGAAACUGUAGGCAGCCAUCAUGCUGUGAACCCAAGCUGUGUGGAGAGACUAAGUGGAGGUGAAUGGAGUCAGUUCAGUCAACAGCCCUACCUGAUAUUUCAGUCCAUAACUAGCCCUGUGUGUCAGCCCUGUGAACAGGUCGUCUUGGACUUUUCACCCCAGUUGAGAAUAAUGACUACAUCCUCAGCUGAUAGCACAUGGAACAGAGGAACUACCUAGCUUAGCUGGGCCCAUAUUGCA